This 253-nucleotide ribosomal RNA is filed under the name uncultured bacterium. RNAcentral's name for it is "partial 16S ribosomal RNA". It matches the Rfam family "Bacterial small subunit ribosomal RNA", at positions 524 to 776 of the family's 1533-position model. The record is from RNAcentral.
UACGGAGGGUGCAAGCGUUGUUCGGAAUCACUGGGCGUAAAGCGCGUGUAGGUGGUCUUUUAAGUCUGGUGUGAAAGCCCGGGGCUUACCCCCGGAAGGGCACUGGAUACUGGGAGACUCGAGUACCGGAGAGGAAGGUGGAAUUCCUGGUGUAGCGGUGAAAUGCGUAGAUAUCAGGAGGAACACCGGUGGCGAAGGCGGCCUUCUGGACGGCUACUGACGCUGAGACGCGAAAGCGUGGGGAGCGAACAGG